RNAcentral lists this unclassified non-coding RNA (348 nucleotides) under soil metagenome. Its description in RNAcentral is "partial contains 5.8S ribosomal RNA, internal transcribed spacer 2, and large subunit ribosomal RNA". The stretch from base 1 to 120 matches the Rfam family "5.8S ribosomal RNA", at positions 35 to 154 of the family's 154-position model. The record is from RNAcentral.
GAUGAAGAACGUAGUGAAAUGCGAUAAGUAAUGUGAAUUGCAGAAUUCAGUGAAUCAUCGAAUCUUUGAACGCACAUUGCGCCCGCCAGUAUUCUGGCGGGCAUGCCUGUCUGAGCGUCAUUUCAACCCUCAUGCCCCUAGGGCGUGGUGUUGGGGAUCGGCCAAAGCCCGCGAGGGACGGCUGGCCCCUAAAUCUAGUGGCGGACCCGUCGUGGCCUCCUCUGCGAAGUAGUGAUAUUCCGCAUCGGAGAGCGAUGAGCCCCUGCCGUUAAACCCCCAACUUUCCAAGGUUGACCUCAGAUCAGGUAGGAAUACCCGCUGAACUUAAGCAUAUCAAUAAGCGGAGGA